Bos mutus (wild yak) is the source of this 116-nucleotide ribosomal RNA. NCBI's taxonomy places the organism in Eukaryota, Metazoa, Chordata, Mammalia, Artiodactyla, Bovidae. The record is from Ensembl.
GUCUAUGGCCAUACUAUCCUGCACUCUCCCAAUCUUGUCUGAUCUUGGGAGCUAAGCAGAGUCAGACCUGGUUAAUACUUGGCUGGGAGACCAUUCAGAUAGUAUUCUCUGAGAAU